CUAAGACCCUCCUCCCCACAGGAGCACUGAGUUUGGGACAUUUUUUCCUGUGGGAAUGAGAAGACCUGUGGGCGAUUUUACAAACACUGCCAAGACAGUGUGCAUCUUCAAUGUCAAAAGGCUUCCUUAUGUACAAGUAGUUCUGAGGGGCACUUAUAUUUGUACAUACUGUGUAUAUUCCACCACCUUCUGGAAUUCCUCUGUCUCUUCCCUCUUCCUUCUCCUCACCUUCUUCUAACUUAUUAAUGAUAAAUCUUCAGAAUUCUUGAUACUGCAUGCUAAAGAUACUCAUCAAAAUAAGAUAUGAAAAGGUUCCAGGCUGGGUAUCAUCCCUGGUUCUCCCAAUUGUUAUAGUUACAGUGGCCUCUGGUAACACAUUCCCUAUCAUAUUAACAUAUCCAUUUGUAUGCAGGGUUUUUGUUUUUCAGAUUUUGUUUUUACCUUGCAGUGCAUAACUGCACCUUACCUCUUUGUCAACUUGAAUGCCAGUUUAUUUUGCAGCUUUUCUUUGAAAAUAAUAAUAAUCAUUAUUAUUCAGCAGUUAUCAGUUAUUCUGGGUUUAUUACACCCUUUAAAUACAGCAUCACAAUUAAUCAUUAAAAAAAGUCUUUGGUAUAAGUAUUAUUAUCUUCAUUUAAAGAUGAGGAAACUGAGGCUCCUCAAAGCUUAGUCAAUUGCUCUAAGUCACAGAGUUAGCAAGUGACUGCCUGGAUUCACAGGCAGGUGCCUGACUUUGAAACGUGUGGUCCUUCCAUGAUACCAGGCUACGUUUCUCUCAGAGUGUCUAGAAAGACUUUUAAGAUAGUAACAAGGUUUGGUUGUAAUUAGCCUGGAGCGAAAUGACCAUUAAAGCCCCUUUCAGAGCUAUAAGUUGAUGCUGUAAGUAAAACAAAGAUUGGAGAUAUUGGCAGCCAUGAUACUGACAGUGAAAUAUUGAGUAGUGUAUGAAGACGUAGCCAAGAAGGCCAGACAGACUCGGAUUCUCCCCUUAUUUCCACAGGUAACAAAACGUGAGACUUUGAGCAAAUGGCUAACCAGUUUGCCCUCCUAUUCCUCCUCUGUAAAAUGAUUAGUGCACUUUUAAUAGACUUAUUGAUUCCACGAUUACUUUAAAGGGGAAGUAGAAACUUUUCAUUAAGCUGUGACAUGGAGAAGUUAACUAAAGUCUGUAUAACAUUUUACAUUUUUCAAAGUCACUUGAAGCUGCAUAGCAUCUCUUAACAACCCGGAAUCUGUCCUAGAGGAGUGGCAGCAGCAGAUGGAGCAGAUCCCAGCUUUAUGCCACAUUCCCAGAAUGGCCACACUUCCAGAAUCAGUCUCAUCACCCUUAGAGGUACCCACAUAAGCUGGACAAUGGAUAUUCAAAGGUCUGCGUCUUCACUCAUCAGAGCCACUGCUCCAAGCAUCUCAGUUCUAGUAACUUCAAAUUAUUUUCUG
RNAcentral lists this long non-coding RNA (1437 nucleotides) under Equus caballus (horse). RNAcentral describes it as "lncRNA (ENSECAG00000050455.1)". The record is from RNAcentral. Lineage: Eukaryota; Metazoa; Chordata; Mammalia; Perissodactyla; Equidae.